This 458-nucleotide ribosomal RNA is filed under the name uncultured Rhodocyclaceae bacterium. Its description in RNAcentral is "bacterial SSU rRNA". It matches the Rfam family "Bacterial small subunit ribosomal RNA", at positions 924 to 1382 of the family's 1533-position model. Lineage: Bacteria; Pseudomonadati; Pseudomonadota; Betaproteobacteria; Rhodocyclales; Rhodocyclaceae. The record is from RNAcentral.
CACAAGCGGUGGAUGAUGUGGAUUAAUUCGAUGCAACGCGAAAACCUUACCUACCUUGACAUGUCCGGAAUCCCGAAGAGAUUUGGGAGUGCUCGCAAGAGAACCGGAACACAGGUGCUGCAUGGCUGUCGUCAGCUCGUGUCGUGAGAUGUUGGGUUAAGUCCCGCAACGAGCGCAACCCUUGUCAUUAGUUGCCAUCAUUUGGUUGGGCACUCUAAUGAGACUGCCGGUGACAAACCGGAGGAAAGGUGGGGAUGACGUCAAGUCCUCAUGGCCCUUAUGGGUAGGGCUUCACACGUCAUACAAUGGUCGGUACAGAGGGUUGCCAACCCGCGAGGGGGAGCUAAUCCCACAAAGCCGAUCGUAGUCCGGAUCGCAGUCUGCAACUCGACUGCGUGAAGUCGGAAUCGCUAGUAAUCGUGGAUCAGCAUGUCACGGUGAAUACGUUCCCGGGCCUU